Molecule: RNA transcript, 1484 nt
Organism: Populus euphratica (Euphrates poplar)
Lineage: Eukaryota; Viridiplantae; Streptophyta; Magnoliopsida; Malpighiales; Salicaceae
Gene name: Protein kinase superfamily protein
Exons: 11
Source: RefSeq, a predicted model, not a curated record
UUUUGGUACGUCAUUGCCCAUGUGGGCGUUGUUAAGUACAUCUUUGUCUUUCUUGCUUGGCAACAGACCUGAGCCACCUCCUUUCCCCACUUCUGGCUCUCUUCUUGCUAGCAAAGACAAUCCCAUUUCUGUUUUCUCUUCAAAAAUGGAAGAUCAAUCUCCAAUGUUGUUUCUCUCAUGUUGCUGGAUCUGUAGACUGAAAAAAUCAAGGACAUGCUGUGCCAAAAGUAAAGGCAAUGAUGUCCCGACUGUGGAUAAAUUAAUUUCCUUGAGGAUGGCUGAGAAGAAGGGUUCAGUUGCUGUUAUAGAAUAUCAUUUGUUGGAAGCUGCAACAAACAAUUUCCAGGAAGUUAAUGUCCUGGGUGAAGGUGGUCGUGGAUGUUUGUAUAAAGCUUGUUUCAGUGAAAAACUCCUUGCAGCAGUGAGGAGAUUUGAAGGUGAAGAACAGGACAUUGAAAGAGAAUUUGAGAACGAGCUGAACUGGUUAACGAAAAUUCAUCAUCAAAACAUAAUUUCUCUUCUGGGUUACUGCAUUCAUGGUGAACAAAGGUUUCUCGUGUAUGAAAUGAUGCAAAAUGGGUCUUUGGAAAGUCAAUUGCAUGGGCCAACACAUGGAUCAGCAUUAACUUGGAAUCUGCGAAUGAAAAUUGCUGUUGAUGUUGCAAGGGGACUAGAGUAUCUUCAUGAGCAUUGCAAUCCUCCUGUUGUCCAUAGAGAUCUGAAGUCAUCUAAUAUUCUUCUGGAUUCCAACUUCAAUGCAAAGCUUUCGGACUUUGGCCUUGCUGUAGCUUCUGGUAUCCAAAACAAGUACAUAAAGCUUUCAGGAACUUUAGGUUAUGUGGCACCAGAGUACCUUUUGGAUGGCAAACUAACUGAUAAAAGUGAUGUCUAUGCUUUUGGAGUUCUCCUUCUGGAACUCCUGAUAGGAAGAAAACCAGUGGAAAAGACGUCUCCGGAUCAUUUUCAGUUCAUAGUCUCAUGGGCCAUGCCUCGGCUCGCUGACAGAUCAAAGCUUCCCAACUUUGUGGAUCCUGUUAUCAAAGACACUAUGAAUUUAAAACACUUAUACCAGGUAGCUGCAGUGGCAGUACUAUGCGUGCAACAAGAACCAAGUUACAGGCCAUUGAUAACAGAUGUCCUGCACUCUCUCAUCCCUCUUGUACCUCUUGAGCUUGGAGGGUCACUGAGAAUUACAGGACCUGUUCCUCUUGCCCUGCCUUCUCUCUGAUGAUGAGUACAUCUCAAACUGACCAUUUCUUUUGUAUAUUUAAAUGUAUGAAAAUCAUUAGAGUUUUUUCUAUUUUUUUCAUUGUUACAUUUGUUAAUUGAAUUUAUUUUUAGAUGAUUUCCCCUUAAACUGCUUCAAUAAUUGGAUCUUCAGCAACACAAUUUUCCGAGGUUUUAGUAAGAUGUCCCGAUAUCAGAUAAAAAGGAGGGUGGUAGUUGCUGAAGGACAUGAAAAUAAUGUACGGUGGUAGAUUCUA